CCCUUAGAUGUUCUGGGCGGCCCGCGCACUACAAUGGCGUGUGCAGCGAGUGCCGAAGUAGAGUUUUCCAAGGUAUUCUUGCAAUGCUCGUUUUGAUGGGGAUAGACCCUUGCAACUGUUGGUUUUGAACGAGGAAUUCCUUGUAAGCAUGGUUUAUCAUCCGACGCUGAAUGCGUCCCUGCCCUUUGUACACACCGCCCGUCGCUCCUACCGAUGAGUCGUCCGGUGAAGUUCGUAGACCUCGUGAUCGCGGAUCACUGGGGGAAGCAAAAUGAACCUCGCGGUUUAGAGGAAGGAGAAGUCGUAACA
RNAcentral lists this ribosomal RNA (309 nucleotides) under uncultured eukaryote. RNAcentral describes it as "partial 18S ribosomal RNA". It matches the Rfam family "Eukaryotic small subunit ribosomal RNA", at positions 1470 to 1796 of the family's 1831-position model. The record is from RNAcentral.